CCUACGGGGGGCAGCAGUGGGGAAUAUUGCACAAUGGGGGAAACCCUGAUGCAGCGACGCAGCGUGAGUGAAGAAGUCUUUCGGUAUGGAAAGCUCUAUCAGCAGGGAAGAAAAUGACGGUACGUGAUUAAGAAUCCCCGGCUAACUACGUGCCAGCAGCCGCGGUACUACGUAGGGGGCAAGCGUUAUCCGGAUUUACUGGGUGUAAGGGGAGCGUAGACGGCAGGACAAGUCUGGAGUGAAAUGCCGGGGCUUAACCCCGGAACUGCUUUGGAAACUGUGCAGCUAGAGUGCAGGAGAGGUAAGUGGAAUUCGUAGUGUAGCGGUGAAAUGCGUAGAUAUUAGGAGGAACACCAGUGGCGAAGGCAGCUUGCUGGACUGUAACUGACGCUGAGGCUCGAAAGCGUGGGGAGCGAACAGGAUUAGAUACCCCUGUAGUC
RNAcentral lists this ribosomal RNA (440 nucleotides) under uncultured bacterium. RNAcentral's name for it is "partial 16S ribosomal RNA". It matches the Rfam family "Bacterial small subunit ribosomal RNA", at positions 338 to 795 of the family's 1533-position model. The record is from RNAcentral.